Molecule: long non-coding RNA, 1149 nt
Filed under: Phoenix dactylifera (date palm)
Lineage: Eukaryota; Viridiplantae; Streptophyta; Magnoliopsida; Arecales; Arecaceae
Description: long non-coding RNA (PDAC_LNC015676)
Source: RNAcentral
GUCAUUAAGGAUUAAUUUCUAAAUGCUCCUGAUCGAUGGAUCCAUCACGAGGGACGGUGAUCGAUCCGCUGAGAUUAGUGCACAGAUCACUUAGUCAAAUGGACAAGUCUCGAGUUCACGGUAGAGACAGUGGAGUGAUUAUGCGAGUACUUGUUAGAGAACAAGGUACUGAGCAUGACCAAAGAUAGUAGUCACAUGGAUGUCUAUCCACUCGUCAGUGACUACUUAUGCUGCAGUUGUAUGACUGGUCCUUUGACCUGCGAUGCCUCAGCUAUUCACUGUGAGGUUGCUGUAGUUUGACAAGUAUGUGAACUUGGGCUCUAGCCAUUCGGGUACUUGUAGUGCGGAUUGGCUACAGUAGGUUCAUUUUGGAAUAGGGUUGCAUCUAGAUAGGAUCUAUCGACUUUGAUAGAUUAGGAGUGAUCUUAUGUGAUUUAUGAGACUGAGUUCGAUAAAUUUCUGGCCAGUUAUUUUGGAAAAAGAGUUUUUCAUAUCUCGAACUAGAAGUCAAAUAAAUUUGAUAUAUGACAGAUGAUGGAGUUUGACGAGAUAUCCAUAACCUCCGUCACGUCGGGAUCCAUGAUAGAGGGACUAUAUCAUACGCUAACUACACCUAAAGGUUCAGACAUUCCAUUCUGCUGGGUUGCCACCACAUACUACUAGGUGUCACUAGUGGAUUGUGAGACUCGAAGACAUUCACUUAGUGAUCAGUGAACCCUAAGAGUAGAACUGAAAUCGUUUCAGUCCACUGAAAGGAGUUUCAGUGAUAUUGAUAUGGAGAUCUCAAUAUGUCUCACUACCAGUCAGAAUAGAACCUACGGGAUAUCACACAUAGAGGAUUUAAUUAGUCAGACUAUCAUAAUUAUGAUUUGGAGUCAUAAUAGAAAUCAAUCAUCAAUAUCAUUGGUGAUUGAAUUAACCCACUAAGUGUUAGUGAGUUAAUGGAAGAAGAAUUAAGUGAAAGUGAUUGCAAUUGGGCUGAUUUAAUGAGCCAAAUCAAAUUGGGUUCGACCCAAAUUGAUUUGGGUUCAUGAUUGGGUCAAUUUGAUUAAAUCAAGGAUUGUGCGGAUUUUAAAGACCACAUAUUGUCGUAGGAUGAAUAUGACUUAAGUCAUGUUCACACUAAGCGGACUUUAAAAUCCACAUGGC